Molecule: ribosomal RNA, 460 nt
Filed under: uncultured bacterium
Lineage: Bacteria
Description: partial 16S ribosomal RNA
Rfam family: Bacterial small subunit ribosomal RNA
Source: RNAcentral
ACUACGGGAGGCAGCAGUGAGGAAUAUUGGUCAAUGGACGAGAGUCUGAACCAGCCAAGUAGCGUGAAGGAUGACUGCCCUAUGGGUUGUAAACUUCUUUUAUAUAGGAAUAAAAUGUUACACGUGUGGGAUUUUGUAUGUACCAUAUGAAUAAGGAUCGGCUAACUCGGUGCCAGCAGCCGCGGUAAUACGGAGGAUCCGAGCGUUAUCCGGAUUUAUUGGGUUUAAAGGGAGCGUAGGUGGAUUGUUAAGGCAGUUGUGAAAGGUUGCGGCUGAACCGGAAAAUUGCAGUUGAAACUGGCGGUCUUGAGUACAGUAGAGGUGGGCGGAAUUCGUGGUGUAGCGGUGCAAUGCUUAGAUAUCACGAAGAACUCCGAUUGCGAAGGCAGUUCACUGGACUGCAACUGACGCUGAGGCUCGAAAGUGUGGGUAUCAAACAGGAUUAGAUACCCUUGUAGUC